Hemiscyllium ocellatum (epaulette shark) is the source of this 851-nucleotide long non-coding RNA. RefSeq lists it as uncharacterized. The transcript has 5 exons. The record is from RefSeq and is a predicted model, not a curated record. NCBI's taxonomy places the organism in Eukaryota, Metazoa, Chordata, Chondrichthyes, Orectolobiformes, Hemiscylliidae.
GGGGAGGGUGAAAGGGUUUUAUUUUGUGUGUUUGGGCCGGGGAUUCAGACCUGCUCGUCAGACUUUCCUGCUGUUCCUGAACCCGCCAAAACAGGGAAGGGAGAAAUAAAACAGCCAACAGCACAGAAACAAAACCAGGAUGCUCAACAUGAUCACGAACAAGGCUCAACUAACGCAAGGGAGGUGGUCUUCACUCAUGGGUGCUGGCACAGUUAAUCAAGAAUCACCUCCUAUAACCAUCCAGGAGUUGGACACAGUCAUUCAGCAGCUCAAGGCAACCAUUGUAAGGAUACUCUCCUCAUAAGGGAAUGGAAGAUAAAAUGGAAAUCCCAGUGCAGAACAUCUCCUAGCAACCUAGACACACAGCAGUCCUCAAGUAGUUGAAGAAUAUUUUUCGUGGAUUCAGAAGUUUAUCAAUUAUGUUUUCAUAGAUGGCAAAAACUUUAAUUUUGAAAUAAUAAACCCUUUGUUGAUUCAAUACGGUAAAAAGAAGGCUCUUUUCAAGCAAACUAAAAGUAAUUUCCAGAAAUGAGCCUUGAGGAAGUUACAUGUGGUCACCAGAAUGCUGAGCAGAAUGCAGCAUACCAGACUCACCAACAAUUGAAGUAGAGUCCACUUUCGAACCCACACCUGGGCACUCAGCUAUACCCUUAAGACUUGUAUCUCAAGUCAGCAAUCGCUUGAUAAGAGAGCUCAGAGAAUUUCCAUGACCUUUCUCCGGGUCUGGGACUACCAAAAGAAAAACAGCAGCUGCCCAGUGAUGCAUGAUGGAGCCACUGUUAGUAUGAGACUGACUUUUUUUCCCAGCACAGAAGAAACUGUGUACUAUCCAAAUUAAUAAAACUGAUUAU